AGUGAACGCUGGCGGUAGGCCUAACACAUGCAAGUCGAACGGCAGCACAGUAAGAGCUUGCUCUUACGGGGGGCGAGUGGCGGACGGGUGAGGAAAACAUCGGAGUCUACUUUUGCGUGGGGGAGAACGUAGGGAAACUUACGGUAAUACUGCAUACGACCUACGGGUGAAAGCAGCGGAUCUUCGGACCUUGCGCGAUUGAAUGAGCCGAUGUCGGAUUAGCUAGGUGGUGGGGUAAAGGCCCACCAAGGCGGCGAUGCGUAGCUGGUGUGAGAGGAUGAUGAGUCACCCUAGAACUGAGACACGGUCCAGACUCCUACGGGAGGCAGCAGUGGGGAAUAUUGGACAAUGGGCGGAAGCCUGAUCCAGCCCUGCCGCGUGUGUGAAGAAGGUCUUCGGAUUGUAAAGCACUUUUAGUUGGGAGAAAGGGCAGUAAGUUAAUACCCCGCCGUUUUGACGUUACCACCAGAAUAAGCACCGGCUAACUUCGUG
Molecule: ribosomal RNA, 492 nt
Filed under: uncultured bacterium
Lineage: Bacteria
Description: partial 16S ribosomal RNA
Rfam family: Bacterial small subunit ribosomal RNA
Source: RNAcentral